Orbicella faveolata is the source of this 367-nucleotide long non-coding RNA. The record is from RefSeq and is a predicted model, not a curated record. Lineage: Eukaryota; Metazoa; Cnidaria; Anthozoa; Scleractinia; Merulinidae.
AUUUAAUUUGUUUGCUGUUCUUUUGAAUAAAUAUCUAACAGCUUUGAAGACAAUUGGAAAUGAUUUUGUUUUUGGUUUCAUUCAAGCUGUUGAUGGAGAAAAGGACCCAAAAAAUUUGCUUCUGGUCUUUGAGCUAGUCAGAGUGAUCAUUAGUAACUUUUCAAUAGGUAAGAUGUGGAAUUAAUUGUUACCUAGUAUAAGUUCUUUGACAUCAGUUUCAUUCACCUCUUCCAGUGAUUUUUGGCCAAGAUAAUUAGUAAGGGUAAUCUGUCCUUCCUUACAAUUUUUCUCCAAAUUCUGAUCCACAUUUCCUUCCAAAUUAUUAUACAUGUUCCCAUGAUUUAUUAAGAUUUUCUCUUGUGCCAUC